Molecule: RNA transcript, 4311 nt
Organism: Osmerus eperlanus (European smelt)
Lineage: Eukaryota; Metazoa; Chordata; Actinopteri; Osmeriformes; Osmeridae
Gene: tafa5a
Gene name: TAFA chemokine like family member 5a
Exons: 5
Source: RefSeq, a predicted model, not a curated record
ACCCAGGAGGUAUUGGUAGGCAAAGUACAGCUCUAUGACAGCUCCGUUUUCUCCCCAAGCUCGUCAUCAGUCAUUUCCGAAGUUGCGAAAACGUUGAUGAAUUUGAUCUAACUUGCAGGCUGCUCUUCGGGACAGUGAGUUCACAUUUGAUGCAGGUUUUCAACCGCCAAUUGAGGGAAUGUAUGCGGACGUAUUGUGACUGCGAAAGAGUCUAAUGGAUACCAGGGGCAGACAGUUCUAACUUGAGAGCGCAGCGAGGAUGGAACUAUCGGAAGCCCGCCAGUGCAUAGUUGAGAUACUUCGUUCGGAAAAUAUCGAAACAAAUGUAUUUUCACGGAAUUGCAGUAAAGUGGUCCUGUGGCGCAACCGUCUUUUAUAGGCAUCUUGAACAGUGUGGCUCGCCGAGUCACUGCUGCGCUCCAAGAUUUAUCUGAGGUAGCCUAUUUCUGGUGACAAGCAGGUGAAUUUGAAGUGCCCAUGAAAGAAUUCCACUGUCCAAGUGAGGCGACAUUCUUGAACUUCCUACACAAUAUAUUGUUUUAAAUUGUCUUCUGCCAUUGAAAUGAUCGUAUGAAAUACAUUUCUAAUGGCUUGUGCUUAUUUGGUGUUAUAUUUUACAUUGACGCCCGAAAAGUAGCCUAAACGAAAGCAAUUUCUAUCGUGCUGAUCUUUUAUUUACUGUAACACUGCUCCAUCGGAAACACAUGGAUUUGUCAUUGGACUGCUGCUAAGGACCACGCGCUCCAGCGGGUGUUUUUGGACUUUCCUCGCGACGAUGCACCUCCUCCGACUGGCGUGGGCUUUAACGGGAGCGGCAAUCUGCUUUUUUGUCAUCCUGCUCAUUCACUCCCACGUCCUAAAAGAAGGUCAGCUGGCUGCAGGAACGUGCGAGAUCGUCACUCUGGACCGCGACAGCAGUCAGCCACGGAGGACCAUCGCGCGACAGACGGCGAGGUGUGCCUGCAAGAAAGGCCAGAUUGCCGGAACCACGAGAGCCAGACCAGCCUGCGUGGACGCUCGCAUCGUGAGGAGUAGACAGUGGUGUGAGAUGAUGCCUUGUUUGGAAGACGAGGGCUGUGACCUGUUGGUGAACCAGUCUGGUUGGACCUGCACACAGCCCGGGGGGCGAGUCAAGACCACCACGGCCCUAUGACGGCACAUACACAAACAAGACAGAAGUCACUCCCAGCCAGACAGACAGCAAAAGUCAACCACUUUUCAAGGACAGACAUGUGAAAAACAACAAACUGCAGACCCUGGCAGGCUAGUGCCACACAGCAAGGUCUCCUGACGAUGGCAGGGGCAGACGCUCCCUGCGGAGUGGUUGGUGUGUGAGCCUCUUCCCAUAGCCCCAUCGUCCUUCGCUGUGUGGACCAUCCGUCAUCCAAUCAUCAGCCAUUUGUCUGUUCUUCAAAACUGAUGACGGAAGCGAGGGGGGGUGGACGCAACCCUUUUUUGUGCCACGUUGAACCUUUUGUUGAUAAGGAGCCUGAACUUCUAACACCUGGAAUGUGAGAUAUUCGUGGAAAGAACACAUGGGACUCUGCAAUUCUAGGUUCCACUGAACGUAACUUUUUUCCGUUUUGUUGUUGUUGUUUUUUUUGCUGAAUUUGGAAAUACCGAAUGGGGUCAUGAGGGAGAUUCUUGGAACUAACCUAGACCUGGGACCACCUGGGAUGAUGCGAAAGACAUGGAAUGAUAAAUGCUUUUGGAGUUUAUGCUUGACAAACGUUCUAUAGUGUUCUUGCAGACCAAAGAUAGAAAUUGUGACGCUGGCUAUAUUCUAGAGGAGUUAAUGGAGAUGGUGAAGAGGGGAUAGGGGACUUUUGCAAGUGGACCCAAGUCUUGCAUCCCCAUGGGCCUCCAAUACAGACGCUAAUGUACACUUAGGGAUGAACAGUAGGACUUGUUGCAUUCAAUAUAAAUUGUAUACAAACAACAAAAAACAACAAAAAAAACUGUCUUAACAAAGACAAACUUUUCGAAUUAAACUUGAGUCCAAGGAUAAUGUGUAACUCGUUGACGACGUUUCUGUUGGGACAACUAAACUGUACUUGUUUACUCACUGCUAAAUUUUGAACAUGCAUUUAAUCCGAGUUACAUUUUCAAUCGCUAUAUUUGGACAAUUUGCAGUCAGCAUGGCUGGUUAUAGUGAAACAAGCAAAUCAUUUCUCACCAAGAAAGAAGAGGAGGGAGUGAGGGGAAAGAAAACCUGUUAGGAUUUCAUAUAUGUCAUAUCUGUUCGGAGGAAACAAACAUUAAAUGUAUUUUCAAAAGCCUAAAGUUAUAUAUUUAACAGUUUUAUAUGUUGUAUCUUUGUAGAGAACCUUAUUUAACACUGAAGAUGUGGUCACUUUGCCAAUCAUAAACUGUGGGUACACAGUGAGCUAUAUCCUUAAGCUGCUUGUCUGUCUUGUUCAUUUGAACAAAGUCAAGUGGCUCUGCCUUUUGAAGCUAAUCGGUUAUUUUUACAACAUGAAAUUAUGUAUUAUUUAACAUGAAAUGAAGAGUAAAGUACUAGAGACUAAUUAAAGUGAUGAAAACAUAACAAGAUCCCACUAUUGACCUAAACUAUACCUCUUUCACACCAGUAGCCAGGGUCUUAUGCCGAAAAUUUGAAUUGAGUGUAACCCGUUUCAGACCCAUACAUGCAUAACGAUGCGACAUGAAUAGUUGUCACAGAAAAAAAAGAAGAAGAAAAAAAAACAGUUGAUCACAUAAUUACAGCUGCUGGUUUUUACUCCACUAAAUCUGUUGAGAAAAUCUGUUGGCUUUGUGAUUCUGCCAUAUCUUCAUUUUCACUUUUGCAUUUUGUGGCAUCUGUGGUAACCAUUGAGAAGUUAAUGGCACUCGCUUUCAUCAACAAAAGUCUCAGAAAGGACAUUUCGGCAUUGUGUGAUGGCUGUUAACAUGGCAUAAACAAGAUACUGAGCCUUGAAUGGGUUAAGUCCAGCUUCUGACCCAUGUCACCUACACGUAUCACUGAAAAGAACUUGAGUUGCCCAGACCAGUGAUUCUGCCAUGUUUCACUAUUGUGAUUAGGUUGGUGUGAAAGUGGUAUGUAAUGUUAGGGGAAACUUGAUAGGAAAAAAUAAAUAAACUGAAUCUGCACUGGGACCCCAAUAGUGUUUAUGAUAAUAUGCAAAUGUGAUACCUGGAAAUUACAUUGUAUUUCAAACAAUGAGUAUCCCUAUAAUCUACCAAAAGAAAUGUGCAAGUUGCUUAACAGGUGCAAACAUAGUGGAGCUAUUAUGUCAUAGCAUCAGAAUAUUCCUUUUUUGAAGUUACCUGUUUUCAGAAUGUGCAGAUAUUUGGAUAUCUGUAAUAUGUGUAUAAACAGCACAUGUAAGAGAUACUAAGAACAUGACCACUGUCUGUAGUUUCAUGAUUUUCUCUUGGAAUCUUGAAACGUGUUGUUAGAUUAAAUCUUUGAAACCUCAUGCGCUUAUCUAUAAAUCAGUAGCCAUGGUUUUCUAGGAUUAUGCUUCUCCUACAGUAUAAUGAUUACAGAGGUAUGAACUGUAAAUAUGUUGUGGAUGUAACUGCUUUCACAGGAUGAGUGCUAUAGGAUAUCUUAAGCCCUGAAAGAAAUGCUUCAGUUUGAUCACCCAAAUAUAGCAUUCUAUACCGUCAGGAAUAAAUUAUACUUUUUCUUCAGUUCUCUUUAAAGUCCAUAAAAUGAUGAUUAUGCCACACCAAAGGGAGAGGAAAAAAGGCUCAAAGAAUAUUUUCCAUUUGAUAUUGUGAAUACAUUACUUUAAGAGAUUGAUUUGAAAUAACUACGAAUACAGAGCAGUCAGAAUGUAGGACUAUGGUCUCGGAGGCUGCAGUUCUCUUGAAUGAUCCUAUUUUAUUUAUUAACUUUAAUCUGUCCUAGUUUUCACACUACAUCACUAUUAACCCAUUUUAGCUGAGAGGGAAAUUAAGCAUACAUAUGAACAAAACGAACUAUGUUUGCUUUAAUGAGAAAUGACCGAUUAAGAUGAAGACAGAAAAAGUGUCCAGAGUGGCAGUUUAUUAAAAAGAAAAUCUACGUUUCUAAUAAUAAACCCCCGCUGCUAAAGGGUAUAUACUGUAUAUGGCACAUGUCUGAUACACUGCCACACAACAGCCAGGUGUGUGUGUGUUUACGUGUGUGUGUGUGUCUGUAUUUGUUGGAAGGCAGAGCACUGUGAAACAAACAAAAAAUACAGAUUUUUUCUCCUUACACCCUCCAAUCUGCCAUUUUACCUUUGUUAUUUUACUACACACAAUGAGUCUCCUGACAAAAAAGCUUAGUAAACCAUUAAAUACACAAUUGAGUUUGUUCAG